Molecule: long non-coding RNA, 790 nt
Organism: Hipposideros armiger (great roundleaf bat)
Lineage: Eukaryota; Metazoa; Chordata; Mammalia; Chiroptera; Hipposideridae
Exons: 3
Source: RefSeq, a predicted model, not a curated record
ACAGCCCAGUAGGCUUUGCAAGAGAGCGACUGGAGAAAAAAGUGACUCAGUCUCUUAUUAUAUCAAUGGUCUUUGCUGAUUUAGUACAACUCGGGCUCUGCUGUUGUUAUUUGUGGUUUUUGGAACUACUGAUUAUUUUGAUUAAGAGUUCAUUGCUGCUUAUUCAAUAGUAAUUCUACCCUGGCACCGGGCUGCUAAGACAGGAAGUGGAGCCUAUCAUUUAUGAUGCUGGGCAUCAGAAGCUCAGGAGAAUUCAGCCCCUGGUAAAGACCAUAACGGCGUAGAACUCAGCCCGGUGCUAUCAUACCCACACUCUGAGUGCGUUACGGAGAUGCAUGCAUGAGAGAGGAAGCAGAGGAGACGCUGUUCCAGAGCAAGUCCCCUCUCAGGGGGCUGACCCAAAGUCAUUGUACAGCUCAUCCCCUGCUUUCGGGAGAAGACAUGCCUGUGUGGAGAAACUGGCUCAGCCUGCUUGGGAGAUACUGUGGGCCCAGCCCGGCAGACACAGAAGAGUUGAUGAAGGCACAUGAGAAGAAGACGAGAAGCUUUGGCCAAGUGAAGCAGAACCUCAGAGGCCAGGACGAGGAAUUUGUUUCAAUGCUGCACACAGCAGGAAACCGUCAAACGCUUUGAAGCAGGCAUGGGAUGGGAUGAACUUGGAGCUUUUAGAAAAUUGAUCUGGAAGUACGACUACUUCCAUGAAUCGGUGGGCUCUGAAAAGCAGGGUUCUUGGCUAUUUUUGUUCAUUAUUAUAUCUCUAGCAACAAUCAAUGUGCUUGGUAUGUAGAAA